UGGAAAUGCUCAAAAAUGCUUUCAAAACUCUUAAAAGUCAUUUUUGAUGUAAAUAUUCCUAAAUGUACCACCCAUUUUCCUUCUUUCUUAAAUGGGGCCUGGCUCUCAGAUUUAGCUGCAUAUUGGAAUCACCUGGGGAGUUUUAGGAACUACUGAGGCCCCGGUCUUACCGCCAGCAGGCCUGAUGGAUGGUCCCAGGCGUGGCUGGGGCAUCUGGAGUUUUAAAUGCGCCCAGGUGGUUGGGGUGGGUGGCGAGGUGGGGGACAUUUACCUUUUCACUCCUGAGGCUACCUGGUGUUCAGAGCUUACAUACCCUGCCUGAUGACAGACCCCAGGAGAUGGUGGUCCCCUGUUACAAGACAAUGACCACAUGUACAGGUUGAGAGGAGGGGACAGGUCCUUAAGGAUUCAGGAACGGAUGCUGUGCCAUGUCUGCCAUUGAGUGCGCCCACUCAGCAAGCCUCCACGUCUGAGGCUUUUGACACUAAAGAACCGUCCAAUGAGAAAUCAGAAGACUGAAUAUGUGUGGCAAGUAAAUGCUAGUUCACACAUUGGAAAGUCAAAUGAUCUUUUUAUAACUGGACAUCAGGUGAAGCUGGAAGCAUUGAUGAGAUGGUAGCGUGAGACAGCAGAGGCCUUUCUAGUGCCUGUUUUUGCCCUAGGGAAGUUUACAGCAUGAAAAAAAAAAAAAAAAGAGGUAUCUCCGGCUGAUAUCCCAAGUGAGUGGUUAAGUGUCAGUCUACAAAUAUACCCAAAAAGACUCUCCUGAAUUCCAUGAUCUCAGUGAAGCACUCACUGUUCCAUUACAGCAGGAAAAGACCCUCUCACUUUAGGGGUAACCCUGACCUGCUGUAUUGCAGUAAAAAAAAAAAAAAGAUAAAUUGGCAUGGUGGACUAGUACUGUAUCAUAAAUACGGCGUGUCUUCAGUUACAGGAUGCUCUGUUUGAAUUAUAUACAUUUUAGAAAACUUAUGUACAGAUAAAUAAUUUAAAAUUGAUUGCAAGUGAUAUUUGUGGUCUUUAUAGAGUUGGCCAUGAUGUCAAAAAUAGAACAUUAAGUCUGUGGGAAACUGGGAUUCAUUUUCAUCCUCAGAGUAGCGUCCAAUAGCUUUGCCAAUGCACUGAGACACUGGCAGGUGUCUGCAGUCUCCUGCGGUUUGGGGCUGCAAACUGUGGCGGGGGCAAUGUUGUAGAGAGGGCUGCUCCUGGACCCACCGCGAGAGACCUUAGAUUAAAGAAAGGUGAGCCCCGCUGGGGUCCCCAAACAAAGGUCAUCUUUCUUUAUGGUCAAUCAUACUAGCAUUUAAAGGGGGGAAGGAGAACACAUAUAUUGCAUAUUCACUAUGACUGAAAAAAGAAUUAAUUUUGCACAAAUGACAUUCAAAUAUGUCACCUCAGGCACUUCAAAACAGAGUGAUUACCCUCUAAGAUUUUAGUGUCUCUUCAGCAAAGCACCAAAUUGCUUAAAUUUGGUCCCAUAAGAAUUAUAGUCCAAUUUCAGCUCACAAUGUGCCCUGAUUCUAAGACUGUCCUAGAAUGGAGGAAGCAAUUGUCGUCAAGACUGGCCUUCUCACCUGCCUCCCUUGGUGACAAGGGGCGGUGGCAUGGCCUUCAGGGCAGGCGGAGGGAGGAAAGGCAGCUUCUCCCGGGGUGUGUCUCCUCCUGAGGGAGUCUUCUUCCUCCACGCCUUCCUGAUUCUGCUUUAGGGACUCAGGAAGUUGACAGGCAGAGGACUUCUGGCUUAAAUAUUGGAAAAAGCAGCCGAGGAGGUUCUGCCUGUAAAUAGUGUCUGUAAGACAGUGAGUGGCCAGGAAGCCCAGUUCUCAGGCCACCGGGGCAGUGUCUGCCCUCUUGAGGUGGCGCGUGAUGAAAGUCCCCAGGGCCCCCAGGGGGAUGCACAUGGUGGAGGAGGCCACGAGCAGCCCAAUGACAGCCAGUGCAUAGGUGGGGUAAUCUUUGGUCACAAGCUGGCCCUGGAAGGAGAGACUGAGCGUCAGCAGAAGAAACCUCUGAGAGCGCUGUCCCCACAAGCCUCAGGCCUCAGGCCCCCAGGCGUGGUGGACAGGCGCUGGGGGGGUGGGCAGUGGGGGGGGGCAGGUAUCCUUACCCCUGGGGCCACCUGGCUCUGCAGCUCAGGAGCAAGUAUGCGGGGAUGGAGGGAGGGAAGGGCCAACUCCCCACACUCUCCUUCUCUCCCAUAAGCAAGGACUGACAGUGCCCGCCCAACCAGUGUGUGUGUAGCUGUGGUUCGGGGCAACCCAUGAAGAGUGGCCACAGGAAUAGCCAAGGGCCUUAUGCUUGAGGCACCUUUCAGGGCACCUAAAUGCAGGGGCUACCCUUAGCCCAGAAUGGAAACUUCUGUGAAGGUGGAAAUGUUCUGCAUCAGGGCUGUGGCCGCUCAGGGCACUCUCAUUAGGCAGGAACUAGUGAUUCGCGGGGGGGCUUAUUCCCAUCUCCCAGGGGCGAGGUCCCAGGAAGGUCUGGAGGGCACCUUACUCUCCUCCCUGCAGCACAUGCUUAAAAACUCAAAGCCCAGCUCUGCUGUCCCGGACUGAGUGUUUUUAAAAUACCUUGGUGAUGUUUCCAUGUUGUGACAAAUAACCCACCCGCACCAUGGAUAUCGUUCCCUGGUUUCAGAAAGCUAAAGGCCCGAGUGACCUUGGGGGCCCAGUGCCAGCUCUGCAGAGACAGCGGAUACCUGGGAGGCGUCCCAGGCUUGGUACUGCAGGGUGCCGGUGAGGAUGUAGUCGCUCAGGUAGAAAGCAAAGAGGCUGAUAAUCAGCAGCGGGCUCACGCCGGCCCACAUGACCUUCCAGUACCAGCUGAGAGCUCGGCCAGUCAUGGCCUUCAGGUCACUUUCAAAUCUGUUUGGAAGACAGGAAGAGUCUGAUGUACCCAUGCUGCCGCAGAUGAGGGGGCCCUGUUCACACUUCCCUCUUGGCUUAGGAAGAUUCUGUUCUGGGAACCACCGAUGUUUGAACGUGGCCACUGGGACCUUCUUGGGGGAGGGGUGCUGGGGCACCCCAGGUAAGUUGCCAUCAGAGGAGAACUUGGUGCCGGCCUUCAGGUGAGGGCUGCCAGCAUAGACCAGAAGGGUGGCCCCAGAAAUGGUGGGCACAGGUGGCAUUGGGGACGUCUGUCAGGCCAGUUCUUAGCGUCAAGGGCCCCUAGGGCAGCUUUGCUCCCCCAACACCCCACUAUCAGCGACCCUGCUGCCUACUAGAAACACCUACAGAGUAGAAUUUCUUUGUCCCCUGUAACCACAGCAGGUUUUCUGGGACAGUGGGAGGGCCAAACCUCAGACCCCUGGCCUGGGAAUGUGACAUGCCACCUGCCUGAGGGCACCAGCUAGUGGCAGAUGAAACCCAGACCCUGGAUUGGCCUCCUGCCUCCAGGCCAGAGCCUUUAAAACUGCUCUCCACGGCAGGACAGGCAGCCGUGGCAGGAGGGGCUAGGGUGUGACUGUCACCAGCUGCAGCCACAGCCACAGUCCCUGCCUCCUUGGGACCUGUUGCCUGUCCUGGGUGCCAUGCAGGGCUGCGUAGAGACCACCACCUGGUCUCUGGUGGUGCCGUAGCUGGCCUCUGGGCGCUGGGCUGUGAAGGCUUACCCAUGCAACUGAAAGCCUGGGGCUUUCAAAACUACACGGGUCAGAAAGUGUCAGGGUCCUAUUGUCCCAUCACCACCCCCUCCGCCCGCCCCGUCUCUGUUUCUUGCAGGGAAAGCUGGGAAGAGCCAGAUGCAGAAAAGCAGGCAGGACGAUGCGGCCGGUGGCCACUAGAUGGCAGUGUCCCCGAGCAAGCUGAAGGACCCCGCUGGGCCGCUCGCGCCGCAGGUGACUCCCACCCUCUCGGGGCGCUGUUUCCCCUCCACCCCCAUCGCUUCCCACCUCCCCUUUUCGAUGGACAUGUGUCCCCUCUCCAGCGACCUCCGCGGGCCCCAGGUUUCACUCCUCUCUCCCAGCCUUCUCUCUUCAUCCUGAGACACUCGCCCUCUCCGGGGACGGAUCUCUCUCCCUCUAGACUGGCAUUUCCCAGGUUACCAAGUUGUCCCCCUUUGUCAGGGGUUUUCCUGGUUUUAGUACUGCAAGUUCUACGUCCCAGGGAACCCCGCAGUGCUGGGGAAACCGGGAGAGUUGGUCACCCUGACACGGGUGUCCUCAAAUGUGAGCAGCUGGCGGAGGGUGCGGAGGGGAGGCAAGGGGAGCGGUACAGGGCCGUCCUUGACCAAGUAAAUUCUGAAAGUGCUGUCAGUUAUGACCCCGUCUUUGAGAUCCACAGCUGUCUUUGAGGCUCUGAGAAGUCCUACAGGAAAGACAUUGAUCUGGCUUUGUUUAACUUGUGCCCCCAAAUUAAUUGAUCCUGGGAGGUCCCUCGGAGCACAGGAGCCCGGCCCUUCCAGGGACACCUGCCUCCUAGAGUGUCAUCGCUCCUCCCCCCACCCCCCAAGUCAGCCUGGAGCCUCCGAAAAGACUGGGGAAGACAUGCCCCUCGCCCCCACCCCACUCCCCAGCGCUGCCCCAAGUGAGAUGAGCCACAGACGCCCUGGGCGUGGUGUUAACACCAGUACCAGCCACAGCGGGACUGGGUGGCCUGAGAUUCUGUCCUACCCAGCUCCCUGCUGCCGCUGCUCUGGGGCCACACUCGAAGUAGCUCGCUCUCCCAGCCAGUGGUUCUCAAAGUGUGGGCCCCGGACUGACCUGGGAACUGGCUAGAAAGGCAGAUUCUUGGCCCUCACCGGACCUGCCUGAUCAGAACCUCUGGGUGUGGGGCCCUGCGGCCGUGCUUUCCCAGCCCCCAGGGACUGCUGCACACCCGAAUUUGAAGGGCAGCUGUAAACCAGUGAUUCUCGCCCAGCUGCACCUCCUGUCACCCAGGGAGAACUGACACAUCCCGGGGCUUCGCUGUGCUGCACCAGGAUUCGGAACCCGACUGACUACAGGCAGAAACAGAGACAGACAAUUGCUGCUUGCAACAACAUGGGUGGACCUCACAGGUUUCGAGUGAAGACAGCAGACACAAAGAGUAUGUGCUGUAUGAUUCCAUUUAUAUGAAGUUCAGGAACAGGGAAAAAGCCAUAAAAUGUAGAAGUCAUAAUAGAGGAGACCCUGAAGGUGCAGAUGGUUUGGGAGGGGCAUGAAGGAGCUCUGUGAGCUAUGGGAUGUUCUGUCUCUUGCCCUAGGUCUGGUUACUUGGGAGGAUACAUAUGUAAAACUCACUGCGUUUCUACUUAAGAAAUGUACACUUUAUAAUUGUCAUACUUCAGUUAAACAAAAACAAAAGCAGGUUCUACCCUGGAGGGCUUUGAGUACCAGGUUGGGGAGUUGGGCCUUUUCCAAGGUUGGAAUGGCCACUUCACUUCCCUGUUACGUGGACAACAAAAGACACAGGAUGAAUCACACGGCCCGAGUCCCUGGAUUCCAAGGAGAAGGCGUGGCAGGACUGCGGUCAGGUUGCUGCAGCCCUCUGUGGCCAUGUCAACCAGCACGUGGCCCUGGAGGAAAUGCACUCCCUGCUCACCCCUCUUCCCGGCCCUCCCUGGCCCCCACCUCCUCUGCUGGCUGCCCACUGACCUGAGAUGGCCUCCUUGGGCAGGUGGCUGGAAAUGACCUUGCUGUCAGUCAGAGGGGUGAGGAUGGCCGCCGUGUUCCCCAGCAUGCUCCCAAUGCCCAGCAUCAGCAGCAUGAAAAAGUAGAGCACUGACCACAGCUGGGACACCUCCAUGUUCUUAAUGGCCUCGCUGUAGACAAUGAAAGCCAGGCCAGUGCCCUGGACGGCCUGCCCAUGGCGAGAAGAUACCAGUUACCCACACAAAGAACUUACAGUCUCCUUAAACACACCCAGUGCUAAGCAGCUUGGGUGACCUUGGAACGAGCCACAUUCUGAGGCUGGAGCUCCCAAGUGUAGACCAGCCCUUGGGCUCAGCUGGCUGGAUAGGAACAGGAGCUGCCAGGAGUUCACACAUGCAAAGUAUGUGCAGAACUUUCAGUCAGCCUGGAACACUGGGUCCCCUUCUCCUGCCCCAGCUUAUGUAAAUUCUGGAUAAAAUAUAAUAAAACAAUGUUUGGAUAA
This is a long non-coding RNA of Lemur catta (Ring-tailed lemur), 6071 nucleotides long. RefSeq lists it as uncharacterized. The transcript has 2 exons. The record is from RefSeq and is a predicted model, not a curated record. NCBI's taxonomy places the organism in Eukaryota, Metazoa, Chordata, Mammalia, Primates, Lemuridae.